Molecule: ribosomal RNA, 497 nt
Filed under: uncultured bacterium
Lineage: Bacteria
Description: partial 16S ribosomal RNA
Rfam family: Bacterial small subunit ribosomal RNA
Source: RNAcentral
GAUGAACGCUGGCGGCGUGCCUAAUACAUGCAAGUCGAGCGAACAGAUGAGGAGCUUGCUCCUCUGACGUUAGCGGCGGACGGGUGAGUAACACGUGGAUAACCUACCUAUAAGACUGGGAUAACUACGGGAAACCGGAGCUAAUACCGGGUAAUAUAUUGAACCGCAUGGUUCAAUAGUGAAAGACGGUUUUGCUGUCACUUAUAGAUGGAUCCGCGCCGCAUUAGCUAGUUGGUAAGGUAACGGCUUACCAAGGCAACGAUGCGUAGCCGACCUGAGAGGGUGAUCGGCCACACUGGAACUGAGACACGGUCCAGACUCCUACGGGAGGCAGCAGUAGGGAAUCUUCCGCAAUGGGCGAAAGCCUGACGGAGCAACGCCGCGUGAGUGAUGAAGGUCUUCGGAUCGUAAAACUCUGUUAUUAGGGAAGAACAAAUGUGUAAGUAACUAUGCACGUCUUGACGGUACCUAAUCAGAAAGCCACGGCUAACUACGUG